Molecule: non-coding RNA, 472 nt
Organism: Macaca mulatta (Rhesus monkey)
Lineage: Eukaryota; Metazoa; Chordata; Mammalia; Primates; Cercopithecidae
Source: RefSeq, a predicted model, not a curated record
CCAACAAAAUGAUGGGCCCUUCAAAACCUGGGGCACUGCAUUAACCAGGUGAGCCCCUGCCCCGACCAAGGCUAAUGGAGUAAGAGAAGGAAUGGGAGGUACUGGCAUGUAUAUCCUGAAUCUACCUGAACAAAGUGCUGCUGCUUGGCCUCCCUUGGCUGCAUAUGUCAACAGAGGAGCUAAUGGAAAUCCAUGAGGACAACUGGGGGAAUAGGGGACACUCUGAAGGCACCUGGCUCAGAACCACUGCCAUCCAAGGAGCGAGGAGUCCCAGGGCUGAGCAAAUGCAGGGGGGAGGUCGGCAGUUCCCCUGCUUCCCGAUCCUCAUUUUCUGCUUCACUUGACUCCUCCAGAUAGGAGCUGCUCUCACUGCCCACACUGCUGUUAUAACUCCGGAAACUAUCAUAGCCACCAAACAGCUCCAAGUCGUCAUCUUCCUCUUCCUCCAUUGGUUCUGAAGACGGGGUCUCCU